AGGGAUGUAGCGCUGCUUGGUAGCGCCUUUGUUUUGGGUACAAAAUGUCACGGGUCGUCAUUCCUA
This 66-nucleotide transfer RNA is filed under the name Rubus spectabilis. RNAcentral describes it as "tRNA-Pro". The record is from RNAcentral. Lineage: Eukaryota; Viridiplantae; Streptophyta; Magnoliopsida; Rosales; Rosaceae. RNAcentral also lists the same sequence under 3 other names.